UACGAGGGGGGCGAGCGUUGUUCGGAAUUAUUGGGCGUAAAGGGUGCGUAGGCGGUUUGGUAAGUCUGAUGUGAAAUCUAUGGGCUCAACUCAUAGUCUGCAUCGGAAACUGCCGGGCUUGAGUAUGGGAGAGGUGAGUGGAAUUCCUGGUGUAGCGGUGAAAUGCGUAGAUAUCAGGAGGAACACCUGUGGCGAAAGCGGCUCACUGGACCACAACUGACGCUGAGGCGCGAAAGCUAGGGGAGCAAACAGG
RNAcentral lists this ribosomal RNA (253 nucleotides) under uncultured bacterium. RNAcentral describes it as "partial 16S ribosomal RNA". It matches the Rfam family "Bacterial small subunit ribosomal RNA", at positions 524 to 776 of the family's 1533-position model. The record is from RNAcentral.